UACGUAGGGGGCAAGCGUUGUCCGGAUUCAUUGGGCGUAAAGAGCGUGUAGGCGGCCAGGUAGGUCGGUUGUGAAAACUGGAGGCUCAACCUUCAGAGGUCGACCGAAACCAUCUGGCUAGAGUCCGGGAGAGGAGAGUGGAAUUCCAGGUGUAGCGGUGAAAUGCGUAGAUAUCAGGAGGAACACCGGUGGCGAAGGCGGUUCUCUGGGCAUGUCCUGACGCUGAGGAGCGAAAGUGUGGGGAGCGAACAGG
This 253-nucleotide ribosomal RNA is filed under the name uncultured bacterium. RNAcentral's name for it is "partial 16S ribosomal RNA". It matches the Rfam family "Bacterial small subunit ribosomal RNA", at positions 524 to 776 of the family's 1533-position model. The record is from RNAcentral.